GAUGAACGCUGGCGGCGUGCCUAAUACAUGCAAGUCGAGCGAACAGAUGAGGAGCUUGCUCCUCUGACGUUAGCGGCGGACGGGUGAGUAACACGUGGAUAACCUACCUAUAAGACUGGGAUAACUUCGGGAAACCGGAGCUAAUACCGGAUAAUAUAUUGAACCGCAUGGUUCAAUAGUGAAAGACGGUUUUGCUGUCACUUACAGAUGGAUCCGCGCCGCAUUAGCUAGUUGGUAAGGUAACGGCUUACCAAGGCAACGAUGCGUAGCCGACCUGAGAGGGUGAUCGGCCACACUGGAACUGAGACACGGUCCAGACUCCUACGGGAGGCAGCAGUAGGGAAUCUUCCGCAAUGGGCGAAAGCCUGACGGAGCAACGCCGCGUGAGUGAUGAAGGUCUUCGGAUCGUAAAACUCUGUUAUUAGGGAAGAACAAAUGUGUAAGUAACUAUGCACGUCUUGACGGUACCUAAUCAGAAAGCCACGGCUAACUACGU
Molecule: ribosomal RNA, 496 nt
Filed under: uncultured bacterium
Lineage: Bacteria
Description: partial 16S ribosomal RNA
Rfam family: Bacterial small subunit ribosomal RNA
Source: RNAcentral